Molecule: non-coding RNA, 1367 nt
Organism: Cinara cedri
Lineage: Eukaryota; Metazoa; Arthropoda; Insecta; Hemiptera; Aphididae
Source: the annotation of a GenBank genome assembly
GGGUAAAUAUACUUUUGACAUUUCACGUAUUGACAUCAAUCAUUGAUGAAAUAUGUAUUUUUUACUUUUUACAUUAAUACACUAUGCACAGUGGGCAAAUAAAGCAUCAACUAUUUAGAUAACUAAUUUAAAUAUUUAUUACAACCUAUUUUUUUCCUCAAUAGGUACCUCAUUAUCGUUUUUCCUCGGUUUCCUUAGAUAACUAGGUACUUAAUUUUGUAGACACGAGUAUUGUGUACAUAUGGUCAAUUUGUAGCCGAUAGAAAUAGCGGAUUUUCAACACAUGAAGUUUGAACUUUUAUGUAGAUAGGUACAUUUAUAUCUAUGCCAAAACCUCUAAGUAUAGAUUUCAAAAAAAGGAAGAACUGAUUUUACUGAUGUGUGGGCCAUACUAUUAAAAGUGAAAGAUUCGAUAUGUAGUUUAUAAAUAUAUGUCUACGCAACGGUAAAUUAUUGAUAACAAAAAUAACGAAAUAAUAACAAUGAAUUGAUACUGGGGACGGGUGUGCCACUGUUGUAGGUGUCGGGAAGGUAGAACGGAUAGAAAACAGAAAACGAUUUGGAGCAAAGUCCGGUUACACAUAUUUUAAAAUAAUGAAAUCGUAACUCCGUAUACUCCGUUCAUUUCUCAAAUUUCGCAGUUUUUUACAUUUUUUUUUUUUUUUUUUGAAAAAUUAAAAAAUGACCUUCCUAAAGUACCAUUCAGAUAAAAUUUAUUUUCAGCAAAGGCACUACUCAUGAAAAUUGAAUCAAGAUUUCUGGUUGAAAAGUUGUUUACAAACAGAAAAAAUUAAUAAAACACAAAAUCUUAGUAAGACCAAUAGAUCUUCGCUAAGCUCCGAAGUUUGAUGAAAACUUUUCCGUUUUUCCUACGUUUUUUCACAAUUAUUAAGAAAAGUCCAAUGAAUGAAAAAUCCAAAAACGAUUUUCGGUACCUAUAAACGUGCCGUAUGCUAUGUACCGGCGUAUUAUGCUUUAUGCAAAAAAUGACUAGUACUAUUAUGUCAUAUGCUAUCUACGCUAAGAAAUGUAUUCUUAACAUAAGUAUUUAAACAAUUUCAUUGGAGCUUUGCAGUUUUAAUUAAAAUUAUAAUCGUCUGUAUGUGGAUCAUGAAGUUCUUGUUCGCUAUGGUUAACAGUUUGGUGAAGAAAAUUUUGAUUUUUUGAAGUGCUGCGUGCUCUCCGCUCAUCUGAAUUUGGUACCUAACAACCCACGUUAUUUCACAAACUUAACACAAGAUCCAUCGUUAAAAAUAAUGUUUUUGUAUAAAUCACACAAAUUACGUUUAACCAGCACCGAACACAUACCAGACCACGAAGCAUUUUACACGAAUACAACCGUAACAAUAUAAUCUAUUAAAGACAAU